RNAcentral lists this ribosomal RNA (481 nucleotides) under uncultured bacterium. RNAcentral describes it as "partial 16S ribosomal RNA". It matches the Rfam family "Bacterial small subunit ribosomal RNA", at positions 28 to 507 of the family's 1533-position model. The record is from RNAcentral.
GAUGAACGCUGGCGGCGUGCUUAACACAUGCAAGUCGAACGAAGCACUUUAUUUGAUUUCCUUCGGGACUGAUUAUUUUGUGACUGAGUGGCGGACGGGUGAGUAACGCGUGGGUAACCUGCCUUGUACAGGGGGAUAACAGUUGGAAACGGCUGCUAAUACCGCAUAAGCGCACGGCAUCGCAUGAUGCAGUGGGAAAAACUCCGGUGGUAUAAGAUGGACCCGCGUUGGAUUAGCUAGUUGGUGAGGUAACGGCCCACCAAGGCGACGAUCCAUACCCGAGCUGAGAGGGGGACCGGCUACAUUGGGACUGAGACACGGCCCAAACUCCGACGGGAGGGAGCAGUGGGGAAUAUUGCACAAGGGGCGAAAGCCUGAUGCAGCGACGCCGCGUGAGCGAAGAAGUAUUUCGGUAUGUAAAGCUCUAUCAGCAGGGAAGAUAAUGACGGUACCUGACGAAGAAGCACCGGCUAACUACGUG